Molecule: ribosomal RNA, 254 nt
Filed under: uncultured bacterium
Lineage: Bacteria
Also listed under: 1 other name
Description: partial 16S ribosomal RNA
Rfam family: Bacterial small subunit ribosomal RNA
Source: RNAcentral
CACGUAGGGAGCAAGCGUUGUCCGGAUUUAUUGGGCGUAAAGAGCUCGUAGGUGGUUCGAUAAGUCGGGUGUGAAAACUCUGGGCUCAACUCAGAGACGCCACUCGAUACUGUCGUGACUGGAGUCUGGUAGGGGAGUGUGGAAUUCCCAGUGUAGCGGUGAAAUGCGCAGAUAUUGGGAGGAACACCAGUGGCGAAGGCGGCACUCUGGGCCAGUACUGACACUGAGGAGCGAAAGCGUGGGGAGCGAACAGG